This 468-nucleotide ribosomal RNA is filed under the name uncultured bacterium. RNAcentral's name for it is "partial 16S ribosomal RNA". It matches the Rfam family "Bacterial small subunit ribosomal RNA", at positions 28 to 507 of the family's 1533-position model. The record is from RNAcentral.
GACGAACGCUGGCGGCGUGCUUAACACAUGCAAGUCGAACGGAAAGGCCCUGCUUUUGUGGGGUGCUCGAGUGGCGAACGGGUGAGUAACACGUGAGUAACCUGCCCUUGACUUUGGGAUAACUUCAGGAAACUGGGGCUAAUACCGGAUAGGAGCUCCUGCUGCAUGGUGGAGGUUGGAAAGUUUCGGCGGUUGGGGAUGGACUCGCGGCUUAUCAGCUUGUUGGUGGGGUAGUGGCUUACCAAGGCUUUGACGGGUAGUCGGCCUGAGAGGGUGACCGGCCACAUUGGGACUGAGAUACGGCCCAGACUCCUACGGGAGGCAGCAGUGGGGAAUAUUGCACAAUGGGCGGAAGCCUGAUGCAGCAACGCCGCGUGCGGGAUGACGGCCUUCGGGUUGUAAACCGCUUUCGCCUGUGACGAAGCGUGAGUGACGGUAAUGGGUAAAGAAGCACCGGCUAACUACGUG